This 460-nucleotide ribosomal RNA is filed under the name uncultured bacterium. RNAcentral's name for it is "bacterial SSU rRNA". It matches the Rfam family "Bacterial small subunit ribosomal RNA", at positions 339 to 796 of the family's 1533-position model. The record is from RNAcentral.
AUACGGGAGGCAGCAGUGAGGAAUAUUGGUCAAUUGGCGCAAGCCUGAACCAGCCAUGCCGCGUGAAGGAUGAAGGCGCUAUGCGUUGUAAACUUCUUUUGUACGGGACGAAACUACAUUACGUGUAAUGUACUGACGGUACCGUGCGAAUAAGCAACGGCUAACUCCGUGCCAGCAGCCGCGGUAAUACGGAGGUUGCAAGCGUUAUCCGGAUUUAUUGGGUUUAAAGGGUGCGUAGGCGGAAUGGUAAGUCAGUGGUGAAAUCCUGUAGCUUAACUACAGAACUGCCAUUGAUACUGUCGUUCUUGAGUAUAGUUGAAGUAGGCGGAAUGUGUAAUGUAGCGGUGAAAUGCUUAGAUAUUACACAGAACUCCAAUUGCGUAGGCAGCUUACUAAACUAAAACUGACGCUGAGGCACGAAAGCGUGGGGAGCAAACAGGAUUAGAUACCCUAGUAGUCU